UUGGCACUCUUGACAAGAAAGUUUUUAAAAGAUUCAUAAAAAAAAAUAAAUCUAAAAAUGAUACUAAAAAUAAAAUUGAACUCAAGAAAAAAUAAGUUAUAUGCUAUGAAUGCAAGAAGCCGGGACAUUUCAAAGGCGAAUAUCCCCAAGUAUAGAACAAACAACUAAAGAAGAAGAAUACGCUCAAAGCAAAGUGGGAUGAUUCGAGUGAU
This 212-nucleotide long non-coding RNA is filed under the name Musa acuminata (dwarf banana). RNAcentral's name for it is "long non-coding RNA (MACU_LNC008044)". The record is from RNAcentral. Lineage: Eukaryota; Viridiplantae; Streptophyta; Magnoliopsida; Zingiberales; Musaceae.